GUAGGUGGCAAGCGUUGUCCGGAAUUAUUGGGCGUAAAGCGCGCGCAGGUGGCUCUUUAAGUCUGAUGUGAAAGCCCCCGGGCUCAACCGGGGAGGGUCAUUGGAAACUGGGGAACUUGAGUGCAGGAGAGGAAAGUGGAAUUCCACGUGUAGCGGUGAAAUGCGUAGAUAUGUGGAGGAACACCAGUGGCGAAGGCGACUUUCUGGCCUGUAACUGACACUGAGGCGCGAAAGCGUGGGGAGCAAACAGGAUUAGAUACCCUGGUAGUCCACGCCGUAAACGAUGAGUGCUAAGUGUUAGGGGGUUUCCGCCCCUCAGUGCUGCAGCUAACGCAUUAAGCACUCCGCCUGGGGAGUACGGUCGCAAGACUG
This 372-nucleotide ribosomal RNA is filed under the name uncultured organism. Its description in RNAcentral is "partial 16S ribosomal RNA". It matches the Rfam family "Bacterial small subunit ribosomal RNA", at positions 527 to 896 of the family's 1533-position model. The record is from RNAcentral.